RNAcentral lists this ribosomal RNA (457 nucleotides) under uncultured bacterium. Its description in RNAcentral is "bacterial SSU rRNA". It matches the Rfam family "Bacterial small subunit ribosomal RNA", at positions 28 to 507 of the family's 1533-position model. The record is from RNAcentral.
GAUGAACGUUGGCGGUGUGCCUAAUACAUGCAAGUCGAACGGAGACUGUAGCAAUACUGUCUUAGUGGCGAACGGGUGAGUAACGCGUUGGUGAUCUGCCUCGAAGUGUGGAAUAACCUCCCGAAAGGGAAGCUAAUACCGCAUAGUCUCUCAAGGUUUAGAAAAUUGAGAGUAAAGGAUUUAUUCGCUUCGAGAGGAGCCUGCGUCCCAUCAGCUAGUUGGUAGGGUAACGGCCUACCAAGGCAAUGACGGGUAGGGGACCUGAGAGGGUGGCCCCCACAAUGGAACUGAAACACGGUCCAUACACCUACGGGUGGCAGCAGUAGGGAAUAUUAGAAAUGGGCGGAAGCCUGAUCUAGCAACACCGCGUGUGCGAUGAAGGCCUUGGGUCGUAAAGCACUUUUUGGAGGGAAUAGGAAGGAAGGUACCUCCAGAAUAAGUCUCGGCUAACUACGUG